AGAUCAGAAGGAAGGACCUCAGGAGGGAGGGAGAGGGAAGGAGGGGAGACUGGGGAAUGAAAAACACCCGGAGAAAGGCCAGGGGCUGGGCCCCUCCCCAUCCCCCACUGCAGGCCUCAAUGGGUGGGGGGAGCCGCGGGGGGUGCUGCCCUGAGGGGGCCUGCCCUGCUCUGCUCCCUGCCAGUUGGUUUAGAGGAGGGGGUGGUUGCUGACCGGGCAGGAUGCCUUCUAGAAAUAAUUUUUGGCCUGGGGAACCGGUUUCUUUCUGGGCUUCCUGGCAGGACCAUGGCUGCUCACCCAGGGGUUGACCAAGGGGUGUGUGUUCCUGGGCUCUGGGCCUGCUACUGUGCCCAUUGCUGGCCAGGAAUGUUUUGCCUGGAGUCAGUCACACCAUACCCAGGGUGCCACAGUAUAUGGAUGGGCUACGGGGGUUGGCGCUUACUGGAGAAGUGGCCGGUGGGCCUUGUGGAAGGGGAGGCCGCCAGGUCUGGAACCUGAGCUGUGAGGACGUUCGCUCACCUGAGAGUGUGGCGGCAUCCUAGAACAGUCACCUUGGGGAGCCCUGGCACCCAGAGUGCUCCCAGCUCCUUGCUGCCCUGCCCUCUCAGCAGGGCUCCAGGCAGAGUCCCUGGAAGGGCCUUGGAGGUGGGGAGCUGCCCAGCCUCACACCCAAGAGGCAUUGGUGGGUCAGAGGCACAUCUGGCCUGGAGGGAAGUGUGUGGGCACCAGGGCCCGGCUGUCGGGUGGGGAGAGGCAGGAACAGAGCCUGGGAUUGAGCGAGGAGGGACUCUGAGCCCCGCCCCAUCCUGGAAUCAGGUCGGUUACUCUCAGGGUAGCUAGCCUCAUUCCUCCUCUGCAGCCACCCCGCUCCUUGGGUUGACUUGGCUUGGCGGCUGUCCCCAUUCCCUUCUCAUGCCCACCAGGCACUGCCCCCCACUCCCAUCUCCCCAAGGAUGCCAGCACGUGGGCGUGACAGCCAGCCAGACCUCGAGCAUGAAGAGCUUGGGUCAGCUCUUUACGGACUGGCCCUGUGGCUUGGGGCAAAGUACUUGACCUGGGAAGCCACCCGCUCUGCGUCUCCAGAAUGGAGACCGAAGCCUGCCCUGGCCACAUCACAGAGCUUGGUGGGGACCGAACUCAACUCAGACACCGAUAAGCACUUCACGCAGGUGCAGAUGUCAGGGCUGUGUCUUCCGCAGGUCAGAAAGACAACCGCCCUGGAGACAAGUUCCAGCUCACGUUCCCACUGCGGACCAACUAUAUGUAUGCCAAGGUGAAGAAGAGCCUGCCGGAGAUGUACGCCUUCACUGUCUGCAUGUGGCUCAAGUCCAGCGCCGCGCCAGGGGUGGGCACGCCCUUCUCCUAUGCUGUGCCCGGCCAGGCCAACGAGCUGGUCCUCAUUGAGUGGGGCAACAACCCCAUGGAGAUCCUCAUCAAUGACAAGGUGGCCAAACUGCCUUUUGUCAUCAAUGAUGGCAAGUGGCACCACAUCUGCGUCACCUGGACCACCCGGGACGGGGUCUGGGAGGCCUACCAGGAUGGCACGCAGGGUGGCAGUGGCGAGAACUUGGCACCUUAUCACCCCAUCAAGCCCCAGGGUGUGCUGGUGCUGGGCCAGGAGCAGGACACUCUGGGUGGUGGGUUUGAUGCCACCCAGGCAUUUGUGGGUGAGCUGGCCCACUUCAACAUCUGGGACCGCAAGCUGACCCCCGGGGAGGUCUACAACCUGGCCACCUGCAGCACCAAGGCACUGUCCGGCAAUGUCAUCGCCUGGGCUGAGUCCCACAUUGAGAUCUACGGUGGAGCCACCAAGUGGACCUUCGAGGCCUGUCGCCAGAUCAACUGAGCGCGGCAGGCCAGGCUGAGCCCGCCCGCCCUCACCCCCUGCUUGUGCGGCGAUGAUCUGUUUUGUGCGUCUCUUCUCUCCCUUUUCCCCAGGAAUGAACCGAGGCCGUCGCCCCUGCACACGCACACGCACACAGCCUGGUUUUGUCCUCAUGCACACGAAGCAGCCCCUGCUCCCAUCUGUCCCUGAGGAAGCCCCACUUCUCUGUAGGAGCCCGGACUCUCUCAGGCAUGCCCCAUUCACAGCUAAAGUGGGUGCUGCGACGUUUUGAACAAGGCAGAAGUAGCGCCCGUCGGGUUGUGGCAUCCUUGGAUCUGCAGGGAUCUUCUCCGUUUGCAUGUUCCUCGGGGUGGCGUGUUCCUUGCUCCCUGGGUCCAACGUGUGUUCCCGCACCUGCAUGGACUGCCCCAGUUCUGUGUUGUGUGCCAAGUGCCGCCCAGUGUUCUGUGACCACCCGUGUAGCUACUGAAAAUGGCUGGGUAAGCAAGCCAAGGGUGUUGGAGGAGGUCAAGAGAGAGCUCAGUUUCCCUCUCCCCCUCCCCAAACACACCAAGAAGCAUUUUUAACGUGUAGGUUGAGAACAAGCCUAAAGGAUUCCCACAGCUGGGAGCCAGCGAGAGAGCUUGGAGUCGCCUCUCUAGACCAGAUCUAGCCCCACCCUCACUCCAGCCAUCUCGGAGCCCUUGUGUAGGCAACGCCCAGUGCGGGCUGUGUGGGGUGCUCCCCUGCCAGCACCUCCGGCCAGCCCCGCCCCUGCCGAUCUACUGGACCGCAGACCACCUUCUGCCCCCGUGGGCCAGGUGGGAGCUGUCCGUUCAGGACCAUGAGCCAUCCUCUGCCCUGACUAGCGAGGGGCAGAGCACACCCCAGUGCUUACGCCUCCACCCCUGCAGCCUCCUGGCCCGCUCACCUUCCUCACCCCUCCUCUGACCCACCCAUGGUGCCAGGGCCGAAGCUGACCUUUAGCUCCCUCCUGCCCCUUGCUAGGGUCUGAGCCAAGCCCCUCGACUCCCUCACUGUGUUGACACUUGGCACUUUGCUGGCCCGGAGAAAGGUCGAUGACACAGCCGCAAAUCUAAUCCACGUAGUUCCCAUCUACUCCUUAAUCUGAUUGAUGUUCCCUCUUGCACUGAAUAAUACAUGCCUCUCUCAGGUAAGCCAUUUUAUAAAACAAGAAGAUAAAAAGCACUGUUGAGGCAGUGUUUGCUUUUGCCGAGCUGGUGUCCGACAGCUCCCUGGGUGUCCGGGGUGGGAGAGCUGUUGACAGAAGCUCUCCGGGCCCUCAGGGGCUUAGAUCCCACUUGAGUCGUAAGCCUUCUUGCUUUUGAUAACACAGUAUUAUUUCUCUUACUGUAGAAGAAAAAGUUUAUUACCAAACAAGAGUAUUUUUAUGAAAGAAAAGGACAAACCUAUAAAUUAACUCAACCUAUAUCUCCCUUGAAAAUACUUUCAGGCUCCACCAAAACGUAGAACUGAAAGCAUGUAUUUUGGAAGAAAGAGAUACAUUUUGUAUGCUUUCUUUUCCUUUUGUAGAUUCCCAGUUUAUUUUCUAGGACUGCAAAGAUCACUUUGUCACCAGCCCUGGGACCUGAGACCAAGGGGGUGUCUUGUGGGCAGUGAGGGGGUGAGGAGAGGCUGGCAUGAGGUUCAGUCAUUCCAGUGAGCUCCAAAGAGGGGCCACCUGUUCUCAAAAGCAUGUUGGGGACCAGGAGGUAAAACUGGCCAUUUAUGGUGAACCUGUGUCUUGGAGCUGACUUACUAAGUGGAAUGAGCCGAGGCUUUGAAUAUCAGUUCCAACCUUGAUAGAAGCAGCUUGGGUUACAUGUGGUUUGCAUUAAGAGGAUAGAAUCCUUUGGAAUCUUAUGGCAACCAAAUGUGGCUUGACGAAGUCGUGGUUUCAUCUCUUAAACACAGUGUGUAAAUUUAUUCAACUAACGAUGGGAAAUGUAUUACUUCUGUACACAGUGGACUUAAGCGCAAUUUGUUGAAAGGGAACAAGUCAUUGAAGAGAAAAAAAAAAAGCCCAAUACUUAGAGUCCCAAUUUUGUCUUAUUUGCC
Molecule: small RNA, 3904 nt
Filed under: Pongo abelii (Sumatran orangutan)
Lineage: Eukaryota; Metazoa; Chordata; Mammalia; Primates; Hominidae
Description: retained intron
Source: RNAcentral